This 448-nucleotide ribosomal RNA is filed under the name uncultured bacterium. RNAcentral describes it as "bacterial SSU rRNA". It matches the Rfam family "Bacterial small subunit ribosomal RNA", at positions 330 to 795 of the family's 1533-position model. The record is from RNAcentral.
CCCAGACUCCUACGGGAGGCAGCAGUGGGGAAUAUUGCACAAUGGGGGAAACCCUGAUGCAGCGACGCCGCGUGAGUGAAGAAGUAUCUCGGUACGUAAAGCUCUAUCAGCAGGGAAGAAAAUGACGGUACCUGACUAAGAAGCCCCGGCUAACUACGUGCCAGCAGCCGCGGUAAUACGUAGGGGGCAAGCGUUAUCCGGAUUUACUGGGUGUAAAGGGAGCGUAGACGGCAGCACAAGUCUGGAGUGAAAUCCCGGGGCUUAACCCCGGAACUGCUUUGGAAACUGUGCGGCUGGAGUGCAGGAGGGGUAAGCGGAAUUCCUAGUGUAGCGGUGAAAUGCAUAGAUAUUGCGCAGAACUCCGAUUGCGAAGGCAGCAUACCGGCGGCGAUCUGACGCUGAGGCACGAAAGCGUGGGUAUCGAACAGGAUUAGAUACCCGCGUAGAA